AGAGCGGCCCAGGAGCCCCGGGUGACUGCCCCGGACUUCAGGGCCCGGCUUCGCUUUCCCCCUGCAGGACACUCCAGGUACUGCAUGGCCCCGGGCCCCAAGGGCAGGGAGCGAGACCCUGGAGUGAAGACCCCCCGGCCCCGCCAGGUGUGAUGGGGGGGCCCUGGGGAUAGGGUCCCCGAAGCAAAGCUGAGACUCAGAGGUGGGCUGCUGAGCCACGCCGUCCGCAGGGGCGGUGGCUACAGGUAGUUGUCUUCUGCGGCGUCGCUCCCGCCCCUGGAGCCCCGGGGCUCAUCCUCGUCGUCGUCGUCGUCAUCGGGGGCCAGCGCCUCGAUGUCGUGCGUGAUGUCAGCCAGCAGCCGGUGGAAGGCCUGUGCCUCGGGCCGCUGCGCCGCGCCAUCGUAGCUGCGCACUGCGGAGGCCGACGUGGAGCUCAUGCUGCGCUUGAUGCGGCCGAAGCUGUCAGUGAGGAUGCCGCCCUCGCGGAUGCCCACGCCCUCCAGGAAGCCCUCGAAGUAGCCGAUGUCCUGGUCCGGGAUGAAGGGCCGCAUCCCUGCGAGCCGAGGGGCAUGGUUAUGUCCAGGGCAAUGUGCCAUUCCCAAAAUGUUUACUCCAGCCUCCAGGCUUUUGCUUGUGCCAUUCCCACCACCGGCCCCAGCUCACCGUGACCAUGUAAUCCUGUAACUGCUCCAAGCCCAGACUGCUGUGGUCGCUGCCGCUGCAGUGGGAGCCAUGGAAAGAAGGUGUGGACGUGCCGCUGUAACAUGCUUCAAAGGUGUCCUGGGAGCCAUUACUGCAGGCACGGGAAGAAGGGCCUUCACUCGCCUCCCUCCAGCUCCUGGCCCUCAGGCAGGCUGAAGGUAGGAGGCCUCAUCCUAGACUGCAUGCUGGCCUCCAAGGCCUCGCAUACCCUGGCCCCUGGCACCUCUCAAGUCUCAUCUGUCACUGUGCUUGCCUUUGCCUUUGCUCUUUGUGCUUCGCGCCCCCCACCCCCCUUCUCCUUCUUCCUCUACUAUCUCCUCACCUCUGGGUGUUUGCACCUGCUGGUCCCUCUGCCUGGAUUGCCUCCUUUCCCCUCCCUUUUGCACAGCUAACUCUUACUCAUCCCGUGAUCUUAAAUGUCAUCUCCUCAGGAGAGUGUUCCCUAAUUCCCCUAGGUUGGGUUAGAACCUCUGUCGAACAUGCUCCCUCAGUCCAUGGCCUACCUGUGACAUGCAUGGCCUUUCCAGGUACCCCCAAGCAUCCUCUCUGACCACUCUCUCCCUCACACCAUUUGCCACAGCCACAGUGGCCACCUGCUGCCCCUCAAACCCACUAAGCUCUAUCCUGUUCAAAAUUUUUUUUUUUUUUUUUUGAGACAGAUUCUUGCUCUGUCACUGAGGCUGGAGUGCAGUGGUGCGGUCUUGGCUCACUGCAGCCUCCGCCUCCCGGGUUCAAGCAAUUUUCAUGCCUCAGCCUCCUGAGUAGCUGGGACUACAAGCAUGUGCCACCCAGCCAAUUUUUGUAUUUUUAGUAGAGACAGGGUUUCACCAUGUUUGUCCAGGCUGCUCUCAAAUGCCUCACCUCAAGCAAUCUGCCCACCUCAGCCUCCCAAAAUGCUGGGAUUACAGGCGUGAGCCACCACGCCUGGUUAGUUCAGGAUUCUUACAUUUGCUGUUCCCUCUACCUGGAACACUCUUCCCCCUUUCAUCCUCCAAGCCUCAGUUCAUGUGCCAUCACCUCUGAGAGGCCCUCCUGACUCUCCAGCUGAGUUGCGGUCCCCCUCUGCCUCUCUUAUAGCACCCUGAGCCUCCCUUUAGUACUUAUUACCAUUAAUGAUUGUUACUGUUAAAUUGCGAUUUCAUUGCCUCCUAUCCUAGACUGUAAACUUGACAAGAGCAGGGACUUUGGUUUUCUUCAUUUGUUGAACACCUACUAUGUGCCAGGCCCAGGUUUUGCCCUCUGUCUUGUGUCCAUCUGUAUCCCCAGCACACAGCAGAGUGCCUGGCACAUAGGAGGUACUCAAGAAAUAUUGCUUAAUAAAAACUCAACCUUAGGCUCCUGCCUCCUUGUCUCUAAAUUGUUCCAGAACCAUCCUCCAUUAUUACCUACAAAGAAGCCGUGUAGCUUUGUGGUUAAAGGACUGGAUUCUGGAGCCAGCCUUCUUCUGUUCAAAUCCCAUACUUACAACUUACUAGGUGCUUGACCUUGGGAAAACUAAACUUAAUUUCUCUAUUUCUCAAUUUUUCCAUCUGUAUAAUGGGAUAAUAAUAAUUAGUGUCAUCAUGAGAAUUAGAGGAGUUAAUAUUUGUAGAACACUUAGAAUUAUGGGCUAUAAGCAAUAAACAGUAGCUGCUGUAAUGUUACUAUGUUGAUGAAAAAAUAAAGUGCUUUAUAGAACAGCACUUAGUACAUAGCAAGUUCAAUGUUCAAACGCUAUUAUCACUAUUUUAUCUCUUCAGUAGAUAUCUGGUUGUUUAAAGACUAGCCUAAGGGCAUACAGUAUGAGGAAGGCAAAUCUAUUGCCACUAAAAAGGAAAGAAACAAUAAGACAUAUAUCACUGGCAGAGACUGCUACAUGCCAAACUGAAGCCCUUAGUAAUAUAACUAGGUGAUCAACCAGUAACCCAGGACUUUCUUGGUUUUAGCACUGAAAAUCCCAUAUCCGGGGGAACCCCUCAUUCCUGAGCAAACUGGGAUGGCUGGUCACCCUAAACAGAACCCUGGGUAAUGUUCCCAACUGAAUUGUUUAAAAUUUUAUUUAUUUAUUUGUUUAUUUAUUUAUUUCAAUAGAGACAGGGUCUCCCUAUGUUGCCCAGACUGGUCUCAAACUUGUGGGCUCAAGUGAUCCUCCUGCGUUGCCCUCCCAAAGUGUUGGGAUUACAGGCGUGAGCCACCAUGACUGGCCUGAAUUUUUCUUUUUUUUUUUUUUUGAGAUAGAGUCUCGCUCUGUCGCCCAGGCUGGAGUGCAGUGGCGCAAUCUCAGCUCACUGUAAGCUCCGCCUCCUGGGUUCACGCCAUUCUCCUGCCUCAGCCUCCCAAGUAGCUGGGACCACAGGUGUGCGCCACCAUACCUGGCUAAUUUUUGUAUUUUUGGUGGAGAUGGGGUUUCGCCAUGUUGCCCAGGAUGGUUUGGAACUCCCAGGCUCAAGCGAUCCACCUGCCUCAGCCUCCCAAACUGUUGGGAUUACAGGUGCGAGCCACCGCAUCUAGCCUGAAAUAUAUUUUUUUAAUCCUAAAUUUUCCAGCUUUGCUUGCAGCUAGUGAUGGCUAUGUGACCAAGUUCUGGCCUAUGAGAUAUAAGCAGAAGUCAUCAGGUGGGAAUCUGGCAAAACUCUUUAAAGAGGCCCCUUAGCAUGCUACUGUGAUGGCUGGAGCUACAACCACCAUCUCGGUCCAUGAGGUGACCUUGAGGAUGGCUGCAAGUCCUGAAGAGGGUAGGGAAGGAAAAGAGAAGCCUGAGCUCCUAACAACCAUGAAAUGUUGAAUUGCUGCUCUAUUUUAUGUCAAAUAUAAGAAAAAAAAGUUCUAUCUUGCUUAAGAUACUCUUUUUGGGGAUUUUCUAUUACAUGGAACCAAAAUUAAGCCAAGAUAAUUUUUUUGGCAUGUAGCUAUGAUUUUGGUUUCUGCAGACCACUGUGCCUGGAUGACUGGGAGAGAACCACAGGACUGUGUGGACCCACAUCUGAGUUCUGGUGUCUCCUGGGUCUCUCAAGGGUCUGGAUCCUGUGGGUUUCCAGAGUCAGGGAGCUCAGUUUACCUCCCCCUCUUAGUGCCCAGUGUCUCAGCACACAUCAAGGUUGGGUCACCUUCUCCUACCCUCUCUAGUCACCCUGUUUGUGCAGGGGUAGGGGAGCAGGGUGGAGUCCCUGACAGGGGCUGUACUCACAAGGAGCUGCAGCAGCUGAAGUCGGCAUCAUAGGCAUACGUCCCAUCUGUGUGGCAGCUCUCACCUGGGACCAGCAGACAGAGGGACUGUCAGAGGCAGCAAAGCAGGGAUCAGCAUCCCCUGCUCCCUGAGGCCCCACCCUCAGUCUCAGCCUGAAGUCUAGUCCUGCCUCUGACACCAACACACAACAGACCCUGGGGAACUCCCCUCCCCUCUCCUGAUCCUCAACUUCCCCGAUGUGGGGACAAUACCACCCCCCACCUACCUCAUAGGAGCCUUGGGAACAGCAGAUGAGGAAACAUGUGAGGGAAUAUUUUGUAAACUGUGU
This is a long non-coding RNA of Homo sapiens (human), 4196 nucleotides long. The record is from Ensembl. Lineage: Eukaryota; Metazoa; Chordata; Mammalia; Primates; Hominidae.